CAGCUGAUAACAUGACUGUUCAUCUUGAGGUGAGAUAGACCUGAACUAGACUUGAUGUGAACUUGAAACAAACUUGAGGUAGACUUGAAACAGUCAAUGCUUCAUCUUAUCCCAGACUCAGAGCAGUGUCCAGUUUUGAGUCCAUCCACGAGCACUAAAGUUCCUGAGGUGAGCAUUAGAGUCCAAUGUCCAAAAGUCCAUUUAAACACCAGGACGCGGCUGUCAUCUCCUGGAAUGACAGAAAACAUACGGCAGUCUCUUGUGGAAAAUAAAUGUCACAUUAAAAAUGAAAAUUAAAAACAAAACUCAAAGUCAUGUGUCUUGAAAUUAUAACCACAAGUUUAAUCACUGAAGCUUAUCUCUGAUUUUGUGAGAAAUUCCACCCCCCUUUUAUCAAAACCUCUGUAUUAUGUAAAUAUGAAGACACAGAAAUCCAAAAUGUUGAAAUAAAAAUAAAACAAAACAAAAUUCACAAGGAAGAGUAAAUCUUUCUUUCCUUCACUAAAAAUCAACACAGACAUAUGUCAACACAUAGAGUAAAUGUCAAAAAACAACAAAAUCAGAUUAAAUGUAGAAAAACUUCAAAGAGGGAUGUCUUACCCUCAGAAUGAGCUGAACUACAAAAAUAACAAACAAAAUCAAUCUAUCUAAGCCCAAAUCACUUACCUACAAAUGAAAAUCCAAACAAAAGACAUUAUGUUCUAACCUCCAUGGACUAAAAAACACGAGAAAACUCCAUAUCAAAAUAAAAUAUCACUCAUUCUUACAAACAGAGCCCUCAAAUUAUAGAAAAACUUCAAACAAACAACUUAAUAAAGGUACACCUCCAAAUUUCCUGACGUACUUCAAAACCCCUCAUCUGACACCUCACCAAACCAUCACUAACAGAGUCAACCUCUGUUUCAUUUUCAACUUCCUCAAAAUCCAUUUUACCAUUUUAUCCACAAACACCUUUUUACCAACAUCCACUUUCCAACCAAGUCAUAAUAGUAUUUGUUGAUUGACAAAGAACAGCAUAUGCUAACCUACCCCAGUAAUUCAGUUUUCUUUAAUCCUCCCACAGUAAUUAUUAACUCCAAAACUUAGUUUUCACCCAAAAAGUCUUUGGACCAUCAUGAACACACACAGGAUUGUCUAUUUUGUUAUAUGGAAGUGUCAGAGGUGGUGGUGGAGCUCUGUGACUCUUCGUAGAUCUCGGUUUAGUGCGAGAGACUGGAGAUGGAGGGUUAACUGGAUCUGGACAUGGCGUUUGUUUGAUCUUAAUCUCAUCAGGUUCUUUCAUGUUGUCAGCAGAAUCCAGGAGAGGACAUUCCACUUGCUGUCCUGUUGGGGUCUCAGAGUCCAAGAGAUCCUCUGUUUGUGAUGCUGAUGAAUCCAGUUGUUCUUCAGGUUCUUCAGCUUGAAGUAGCUCCUCUCUCUCUGAUUCUCUCUCUGAUUCUGAUUCUGAAGCAGUCUCCAUAUCAGUAACUGGCACACUGUGUUCCACUGAUAUCUCAGUUUUCUCCAACUGUCCUUCAGACGUCAGCUGUUGUGGUUCAUCUGUGUCCAGAACUCUGUUCAGGAAAUACUUCAUGUUUGAAACCAGUAGUUGUGCUCCAGUUUGAUUCAGAGUCAUUCCAUCAGACCUGAAUAGAUGUUUUCUUUCCCAGAAGAGAUCAAAAUUGUCCACAUAUCUCACAAAAUGGUUAGCACAGGAUUUUUCCAAAAAACCAUUAAGAG
Molecule: long non-coding RNA, 1719 nt
Organism: Austrofundulus limnaeus
Lineage: Eukaryota; Metazoa; Chordata; Actinopteri; Cyprinodontiformes; Rivulidae
Exons: 2
Source: RefSeq, a predicted model, not a curated record